GCAUAUAAACCAUACAGCUCCGAUUUCGGAGUCCCGGGCAGGUAGUGGUUAAAGCAGCUGUCAACGCCCAGCAAAUGCACUCUGAGUCAUUCUUGUUUUGAACAUUAACGAUUGCUUUCUUGUGUGCCUGUUCUUUGGGCAACGGAAUGGAAGUCGCUCCCACAGGUUUAUACUCGACCACGUUGAUGUAAAACGCAAUGACUUGGUAAAAAAAACCAGCCUGAGCCUCUCUGUUUGUGAGCUUCGACUUCUUCAAGAUGUUUUGCUAUUUGUUCCUUCAAAACACGCAUUAUGUCCGGUUUAGAAAUCACCAUGUUAUUCUUGCUCGUAAAUGUGAAAACGCCAAAUUUUGUUUCGACUCUGGGCUUUUCCAUUUUGAACUUAACCUUUAUUGCUGUCUGCAACUUGUAAGAGUUUAACUCUUUAAACUCUGCCAACACUUGGCCUUCGAUAUACUUUUUAUAAAAGUCAAAAAAAGGUAUCAAGUCGUCGGCAAAGAAAGUAGGCUCUAGUUCCCAGUUUCUGUAGUUACCUUGAAAUCGCCGGAUUCUUCGGAUGUUUACCUCUUCGAUCACUUCUGGUUUAAUGUGUGAUCUAAUUGCGGCGAUUAUGUCUUUUCGUAGUACAUUGCCUUUUGUGCCUGGCCGUAGAGGGUAUGUCGUUAUCUUGUGCUAUUUGUAAGAGCUGACGGUAUGAUUGGCAUGUAAGAUUUCUAAAUUGUUGUUGGCCCGCUUGAAUUCCUUUUAUGAGUUCAGAUUUAGAAUGUUUUCUACGUUUAGCUGGUGAUAAUGAAAUGUUGUAUCGUUUGACAAAGUCAGAUAAAAAUGUUUUUUUCAAUCGUCUAAAGUCCAUUCAGAAAGGACGGCGUUGUGAUUUCUGUGGUGUUUUCAUGUCUCUAUAUAUAGGUAAAUAUUUAUUUUUUUUUCAGUUUUUCUCAGAGCUUCAGUUCUUUUGUUUGACAUCUCUAUUUAAAAAAAACUAUUUACUUAAGCCAGUAGUGAAUUUAUUUCAUUUUCCCUCAAAGCAUCGGGUGAGCACAGUUUUAACCGAGACUGGGGAAGUCCCGGGAAUUCCCUUUUUGGUUUGGGGAUAAUGAGGUCUGGGGGAAGUCCCUUUUUUGGUUUGGGGGGCUGCUGGGAGGGGUCAAAGGUCAUUGAGGUCAAACGUCACGGGGUUGUUUGGGUUGGGGAGGUGAGGGGGAAAGUCCCCAUUUUGAUUUGGGAUGCCUCUUUCUGCUUUUUUGACCUGGUUUUAAAAAGAGCGAAAACUGUCAAUGAGGUAUAGGAGGGUUUUUUACGAAAAUGAAAAGUGGUUUUAGAGAGCUGGUGUUUUGGAGGGUUUUUGAAAAAGGUCAAUGAGGUAUACGGGGGGUUUCAGUCGAUGAGGUCAUCGAGGGUUUGAGGAAAAGAGUGAAAAGGAGGCUGAUCCAGAACUUGCUUUGGCAUUACUACUGCAUCCUAUGCAUCCAUAAAUAGUUGGACGCCGUUUGCAUAGUGACAUGGCGUGCAUAAAUACCUCUGCAGUGUGACACAUUGAAAAUCUUUGCCUGGCUUCCCAAGCAACAAUGAACAGAUUAUGUGUACAGUGUAAUUGUACAUGUUGUUAUCAUACGCAAGCUGUCAACUUGUCGUCCUGCAUGCUUCUGACAUUUGUUAUACACCAUGGCCUCUAACGAUCCUGGCGGUCAUCUUCCUGGCUUUGUCUAUUUGCUGAAACUCCACAGGCAGUACACGAGCACCAUUUCAAGCCAUAGAAAACAAGAAAGAUCAACAUAACAAGCGGAAAAACCCGGGUCCGGAAUCAACUGAAGCUUAAAGAAAGAGAGGAAGGCCGUCAGUUGCCCAGCUGUUUCCCGAGGCCAUAGAAACAAUAAGGAAGUUCAUCGAAGAAAACGGGUUUGAAGCGCACAGGCAUCGGGAAACAGGAACUGGGAAAUGCGACUCUAUCUACCUGCCAUUCCAUCAAGAAACACCUGAUGGAAGUGAUACCUGACCUCGCCAAGUUAAGGCCAAAUUUGGGAGUUGACACGAUCCACCGUUGGAUGAAGGCUCCGUCUAUGAACUCUGGUGCUGCCAAGAACUACAAAGGGCUCAUUGACGCAAAGAUUCCUGCCAAGCGAAAUGACAAGAGAAGGGAGAAUAUAAAUGAGCACUACUAUUUGGCGAGAGUCAAGUAUGCGCGUGAGGCAUGCCGCAGGUUUGCAGAGUCUGGGGUGAUGUUCUCCAUAGACAACAAACAUAUAAGCUGAGGGUGAGCUCCUGCACGACAGCUGUUGACAGAAGAUGCAGCGUAACAAGAUACUUCCCAACCAGUGAUGCACCAAACUUGUAUGACCAGGACUUCCCGACUCCGUGCUACCUCAUCACCCCAUUGGGGUACAAGAUGCAGCGUAACAAGAUACUUCCCAACGAGCGAUGCACCAAACUUGUAUCACCGGGACUUUCCGACUCCGGGCCACCUCAUAACCCCAUCGUGGUACAUGGAAAUGUUACCCCCGUCCCCAGCCGAGAUCACAGUUGACAACCUUGGCAGACAGUGCUACUGGUAUUUAGAGUUUAGGUUCCUCAUGAGAAAUUGGCCUUCCUGAAUGCAGUGCCAUCAACGUUGUCAACAGGGGGCCACACACCAAAGUCACGCUCGCCAGUCAUUGCAAUGACUUGUUCACGCUGAUACACAACAGCAAGAAAACUGCGUCACGAUACUUGCAGAUGGUGGGUCCGAGUUCAAUGUCAACCAUGUGACAAAUGACUGGUUUGUGAUGAGACUCUUCAAGAACCUGAACCUCGAUGUUCUGCUAGGUACAGCAUACUGUCGAGGAUUUUCAGCAAGAAAUCCCAUCGAGCAUGUGUGGGGCGUCCUCACUAUGUAUGGCCUUAAACCUAAUGUCCUCCGUUAGUGCCCUCUUGUACACGCGGUCGCCUCCUGGUCUCAGCACAACCCCCCGUUGAAGUUGGCCAUUGGCUGCUUAGUCUCACUGAAGAUUGCGGACAUCAGCUGAGGACUAGGGACUGUCCACUUGAUGCACAAAAGAAACAGCCUUCAGAGUCCCCAUGCUGCAUUUCAAUCGACGAAUGUUCAUUACCUAAAGUGACAAAGUAUUCAGUACACUUGAGCACCGAGGGUUCACGGGCAACAGCAGUAGCGGCUCUCUCAGACACCAGAUCACCAAUCAUGUUGCACAAUGCAUCCACAGUACCCCUCAGACUGUUGAUAUGUUGGAUGAGGCGACCCUGCUUGGUCUCGAUGGAUAUCAAAUGCACCAGGAUGUCCUGUUGGUUGCAACCAAGGGGCAUGGACAGCAGAGUUGACAGGCCAGAUAUGUCAACUGGAGAGGCCUCAGCAGGUGGAGAAGGUGGCUGGAUGUACGAUGCAGGAGAUGAUGACCCUUCAAUGGCGGCACAGGUGUCCAGUGGUAACGGUACUUCGGGUGCAGGUGCUGGGUAUUCGGCCAAAAUGUUGUCUGUUGGGGAUGACGAACAAUCGAUGACCACGCAGGUUUACAUCACCGGGGUCGUUUGGGUUGCUGACGCUGCUUGAUGUUCUGCCCCGACACUGCUUGCCAGAGGUGACAAACCCUAGGUGACAGCGCAGGUAUGCAGUGAUGGUGGAACAGUCGGUCAAUUUUACGUUGCCACCUAAUUGAUGUGUGUUAUUUACAAAUGAGGACUUGGACCAGUCAAGUGAUGAUGGAGCAAUCUUAUCUUAUCCACACGAAGAACUAAUCAACAAGAAUCUCCCUGAGGAAGGUAGACGGGCCAACUCUUCCCGCUGGUUUAGCACAUCAUCAUCCUCAAAAUGCUGCUAACUUACAUGUAGCUUCAACUUCAACUUAGCCUCAACAAAUUGAUCACCAUCUUGAUGAUGAGAUGACAGUGAUGUAUUCCCUGGCAACCAGAAACUAGUCAGCUAGAACUACCUAAAGAGAGGCUGUGUCAUAGACCCCUUGCAGCUGGUACUCGAUGGUAAUGGUUCCUUUAACAAGGCAGUGUGGUACUUGCAAUCCCUCUAUUGUUUGACAGCUCUUUCUUUAAAAAAAACAAAAGAUCCUGCAAUACACGAAACUGAUGACUUUUGAGACACUUGGAAACCAUAAACAGCAAAUAUUCUGGUCCUUUUUUAUUGUUUGCCUCACGUUUGAGCUAAAUGCAUGUAUGCUCCAGAUGGAACAACAAAACAGAUAAACAAAAUGAAAAUAAAUAAAGAAGGAAAAGGAACCAUUGUGUUUGCCACCUCCAAGCUCCUCAGAAGUCUUCAAGUAGUAAAGUCAGAAAUCUCGGGUUUUCAAAAAUGUAUUGUUUGGAAUUAAAGGAUCUUUGCAAUGCAGGUUUUUACCACAACCCUUGAAAAUGUGUCUUUUUGACUCAAUGAACCUUAUCACCAAAACCUUGUUUUCACUUUUGAGUGUGCUAGGUAUUUUGUUGAGUAGGAUGUGGAGAAUUUCCCACAAGUUUGAAUUUUAAGUUCUGAAUGGGCUCGAAUGAUGUUCUCGCAAUGUUUAGAACCUACCACAUUGGGGAAAUUUUUUUUUUAAUCUUAAAAACCACUGAGUCAUUGUUAACUGCACUUUUAUUGUUUUUUUUGUCAGAUGGUAUACUCUUUGGAAUAUGGUUUUUGGCAUCCAGGCCUGAUUUUCCAAGGACUGAGUCAAAGAUAUAUGUGGUAUUUUUAGUAUUUAGCAUGUGUCCCUUUAAAGAAUGACUCUACCUCCUUCAAAUAAACAAGCCCAAUUAUUCCUGCCAAAGGUUUGAUUUCAUACCUGACCUGUUUUUAGUCAGUAGCCUGGGAAUAUGUUGUCAUCAUAGCAGCACAUUCAAGGCCACACCGGAGCAUGCUAGUACAUUCAAUCUGCAAGUGCUCUGUACCGACUGAAUAGAUUGUGCAGGCCUUCUUACUGGUUGUACUGCCCACGAUGGCUCCACCUGCUGAGAGAACCAGAUCUGCUACAAGCCAUGUUAUUUUGGAUAUCCGUCAGAAUUUGUUGGAAAUCAUGUUCUGCCCACGAGAUUGGACUGCUGUCAUUGAGUUCUGAGUUUAAGAUGAGUAAAACUGAGUUCUGGUGAAGUGAAGCAUUCCCAACAGAUCAACCUCGGAGUGAGAGAGAUUUAUACUGGAGUGGCAACUGAAGUGAUUGUAAUUUGGCAACGUCUCAGGCAGAUGCAGGGGCAUAGAACAUUAGGAAGUGGUACAAACAGAGAGUAAAAUUCAGCUAUAUGUCUGAAGCUGUGACAUUCAAGAUUAAGAGAUUCAAGGAGUAUCAGCCUAGUCUUCAAAAUAUUCUACUCAUCUGCACAUGUAAAUGCAAAACUUUCAAUCACUCUGAGUGCAGAGACAACUGUACAACCCAUCCCAGAGACAGCAAACCAGACCGCAAUUGUGUCCAUUAAAACUGUGAUUAUCACGAAAACAAGGUUCCAGAAAGAGAAUUCGGAAGAAACAAAGAGGAAAAAGAGAGAGAAAAUAUGAACCUGAAAAAUUGGUUCACAAAACAACCCCAAAAGGAACCUGUGAGGGAGUGAGAUGGUUGAGACUGAGGGCAGUGAUGUUGAAUUCGAGUCCCACCAUCAUGUGAAAACACAGAAACCUCUGCCAACACUAGCCCAAGUUUGUGCCCGGUAUGGAUUCAUUUACAGAGCUGGAGAAACUACUGCAACUGUAACACUCACUGAUUUCAACGUUGUAUCCAAAGAUGACAAACAGUAAGAGUUGAUCAUCACAAACUGGCAAGGGAAAGGAACGUCUUCGACGACAAAUACAACAUGAAGAAGAAUCUGGUUGGAAGGAGAAUAUCAGUAAUAUAUACAUAUGGUUGGUAACAGAGUCUACUCAAGGUCAGUCAUUGAAGACCAUUAUUGCAGAGCCAGGGGCAUAAUUGCAGCAUGUUACCCGGAAGUGAGCAAGAGGUUCUACUUUCAAAUAACUUACCAGACAAAAUAAUGGCUGUAAUGUCAGUGUUGGAAGGCAGGCAGGUGCCACCCAUCAGCAUGACUACUGCAAAGGCAGAUGCAUGUUGCAGGGCAAUGAAUUACCAUUCAGAGCACUCUUUACCCUCGUCUGUGAUGGUCAAACUUCAGGCACGUAGUCAUUCAGUGGACUGUUAGGGAAAAGAUUGCAGGAAUGGCUGUGCUCACAUGGAGUGGUUGAUUUUGGACAAAUCCCAGCUUCUCACUGUCCUUUUUUUGCCUCCUGAUGACAUCGUGGAAGGUCUUAGGAUCAGCAUCUUCUGCAUAGACUAGCUGUGCCAGGCAGUCAUCAGAGGAAACCUACUGGAGAAGAUGACCUCGGACUCUUGGAGUCAGUUCCUGUGUCCUGGUCCUAUUCCCCAUGCUUGAGCUCAGAGAAUGUUAUGCCUUUUGUAGGAGGCAAGCAUCACUCUCUUAAAACUUCUGUUGUGGUCAAGUUGGAUGCCCCAUGCAAUCACCAUCAAACAUUACUCACUUCAUACUGAUGGGCACAAGACCGUUUUGUCGUGUUGACUCUGUUGACAAGCCUUAAUGAGAAAUAUCUGUAGAAGCAGGUUGCCAAAAAGCCAUUCAGUGCAGUGCUUUCUAUGCUCAUCCAGAGAACCUACUGCUGUCUGUUUCUGAUAGUGAACCCUAAGAUUCCAGAGGGGGCCCUACUCCAAGUCAUGGAGAUUCGUAAUGAAGUAGGCUCUGAGUCAACAAGUUGCACCAUUACAGGCCAGGAGAAGAGAACCUUGAUUGUGUGGAUGUUAAGGGGGAACAGUGAUAAGGAAGUGGAGAUAUGGUAGAGUAUGAUGAAUUUCUAUGGGCUACACCCAUAGGUCCUUCAGUUUGCCCAUGGUACAAUUCUAUGCAACCUCGUACUGUCUGAUGAUUGACUUGAACAAGGAAGUACUAACCGAACCACCAUCGAUAAAAAAGAGAUAAAAAUCAAAUGAGGAACUUCAAGAAAUGAAGUACAACCCUGUUUUGUGCCAGUAUAUCCAUGUCAACACACAGUCAGUAGAGCGAGCAUUCAAAUUUGUAUCAGAGGCCUGUCAGGCGGUGCAUGGAAUGGAUUUUUCAGACAGAGACUGUCUUUAAGAUAGUGAAUGAAAACAAAGCAGGACUUAUAGGCAUGCUUACGUAAGGCAUGUAAUGAGUGUUUCCCACUCUCUUUGAUGUCCUCUAUACACUGUUCUUUUUGUGGAUGCAAUGCUAUUUUUCUCACCGUAUCCUGGCAACAAGAUAUCUAAUUAAAUGCCCUACAUGAUGAAACUGUAUUAGAGUAUUUCAUUUUAUUAACUGCUUUCAAAAAUGGCAACAACGAGAGAAAACUCCGCAAAAAAAACCAACUUAAGCUAAAAGCACAGAGGGAAAGAAAAAAUGAGAUGUUCUGUGUCUGUAACAGAACAGGGCUUUUUUGCAUUUCUAAGCUUUUAUUAAAAAAUGUUUCAACCGAAUGGGACAUGUACUUAAAGAGAUAUAGGUUUCUAAAUGAUAAAUCACGUGACUUGCCACGUGAUGACGUUUAUGAUCACAUGAUGUUAAUUUUCGUCUGUAGCACUUCCCUUUAUGUCUAUCUGCAAAGUGUCAACCCAGGAUAUAUAAUUCAGGUUUGCACCUGAAAGGCCAUAUCACGACACGAGAAGACGUCAUAAAGAUUCUUGUCUUGGAUCCAGUACUGUAGCUGGUGGAUUACUGUAGAGUGAGCAAGUAAUGUAUAGUCAGUCAGAUCGACAAGUGCCAAAAUUUGGCUGUUGGGGAAAUGUGUACGAAACACAUAGGGAAAAAUUAAAUAUUCGACAUUCUAUAAUAAAUCGGGUGAUGACGUCAUCAUGACCUCAUACUUCCAGAAUCAUCUAUGCUACUCGGUCACUGCUUGGGGUAACUUUGAUGAAAAUACGAACCAGCAAAGGGACUAAAGUCCUGAGUAGAAAAACCCUGUACAAAAUGAAUGGGAUUUUGGAAGAACCAGAAGAAACUAGAUUCGUUGUCUGUCGUUUUGACAGAACAACUGGCUUGUGCAUAUUUCAAGAGCUUGAGGGCUGUUUAUUAUUGUUGAAAUUUGAAAAUUGCAUGUGAGCUGUAGUUAGUUGUGAUUCACAUCCAUCACCAAUUUUGAAUUGUAAGCCACUUCUGGUUUCAACCUGAGCCAAGGGUCACGUGACUUUACGCACACGAGAUAAAAAUAAGAUCUUAAUUCACCUACAGCAUAACGCAAACAGCAAGUCGUAGGAAAUCACAGCUGAUUGUGUGUACAAAGUGAACAGGAUUUUGAGAAUAGGAAGAAAUGAAAAGAUGGAUUUGUUUUUUGCAAAUGCAAAAUAGCCAAUAAAAAAAUUGCUUAACCAUAGCUCUGCAUUUUUUAAGAAAAAAAUUGUUAGUUUUUAAAAUUUUUGUAUUCGCUGUGGUAGGUCUUAAAUAUAAGGGGAACAUUAUUCUAUCCCAUUCAGAACUAAAAAUGUAAACUUUCUGGAAAUUCACUACAUCUCACUAAUGAGUAUUUCUACAUUCAUGAGGAAAACUGUUACUGUUGCAGGGCGUGUGCACAAGCGACUGUUGGAUUUUAUUUUGCCGGUCAAAAUUACCUUUUUGUUUCUUUGUUUAUUCAUCUUUAAAGUACAUGGCAAUAUGCCAACAAGUAGCUCUUUUCAGAAACUUUUUUUUAUCGAACAUGAAAAAAUCAUGUGAACAAAAAACCGAUGAUAACCAGUGGAAACCAGCGUCUUGGUUACAGCAGCCCAGUUGUCCAGAAAAGCAUAGACCAUUUUUGAAUCGUUUGUUAAAGGUGCAAUGUUUUUUAACACACUCAUUCCAAAAGGGAUGUAGAGGUGUCAUACACAGAAAAGAGUGUAGAGUAACAAUAAGGUGUAUCUCAGAAAUAGUCAUCGUUUGGCUCCGUUAAUUUUAAGGAACAUUCUAAUACAAAUUCAGAUUACAUCACCAAUGUAGCGUAUGUUUUGAUGAAAAAGUCAACAUCCUUUAGGUUUCUAAAAAGGUUGAAAGUUUAAUCGUCAAAUUAAAUCUAAAAACUGAAAUUUACAGUUUCAGAUUAUGAAUGAAUAUUAGGUUGCUUUUCCCUCAGUUUUUCAGACAUAAUACACCCUUAUCAUUUUAUACGUUUAAAAUUAGUUUAAAGUACCUUUAAUGUACCUUCUCGUACGCAUAUUUUGAGUUAGUUUUACUUACUGAAAUCUGCCGUCUUUCUGGCUCAGUCUGAUGAGUUUUUAGCAUAUUGUUUAAAGGUAUUGUUUUGUAUGUUAAGAAAGAAAUUUCUCUACCGUUUUUUCCGAUCAAUAAUGCGGGACGAACUAGUUUUCAGAUGUCAUUUAAGUUCAGCAGAUUUAAGAGCUAUUGGCUUGAGAAAUCAAAACCUAUAUGUUACCCCCCUUCCUCGCAAAAAGUACACUCUCCAGGAGCAAGGCGUAUAAUUGUCGUUUGAACCGUAAACACAAGGGUUUUUUUGUUUAAUAUUUUUGACGGUCUUGUCUUCGCGUAUGUUACGCGUUAGCUUUGUUUUAUAAACGUUCAACUCGAAUAGUCUGUCGCAAGAACAAAGCAAUAGUUUACAUGUACUUUCGUUCCGUUCUUGUGUUGGCAUUUUUUAAUUGCCCAACGCAGGCUCUGCCCCUGAUAAUAUUUCAGCAAGGUUUAAUUGAAUCUAGAGGAUGCUUUGAGCUUGUAAAAGCAUUCUAUAUUUUGUUUUGCUCUACGUUGUUCAUGAAAAAGAAAAUAACACCCGAAGUGUAUUCCAAAAAUAAUGAAGUGUAAUAAACUGUCAAAACGAAAAGUUUACAACCUGCGUUUGAAGGGCAAUAUUUUGUCCAUGGGAAACCAUUGAUAUUGAAACUUGGUCGUUAAUUUAUAUGACUGAUUUGUAGUGCAGGUCCCACUUUUGAUCUCAACCUCCUUGACCAAUCCAAGACUGCUCAAAUUGGAGAAAUUGGCGCCCUUUUAAAUUCCAAUAUAUGGGCUUAAAGUUACCAUUAGAAAGAGUUUCUACCGUAAAUGUUUGGCGCAUUGUGGAGGUGCUGUACUUGAAAGUGUGAAAAUUCAGAUUGAGGAA
RNAcentral lists this unclassified non-coding RNA (10008 nucleotides) under Acanthaster planci (crown-of-thorns starfish). RNAcentral's name for it is "zinc finger ZZ-type and EF-hand domain-containing protein 1-like, transcript variant X1". The record is from RNAcentral. Lineage: Eukaryota; Metazoa; Echinodermata; Asteroidea; Valvatida; Acanthasteridae.